GAGGUAAGAAUAACCUAUUCUUGAUUUCUAAUCAAAGAUUAAAGUGCGUAGUUCCACUUUUACCUCU
Molecule: transfer RNA, 67 nt
Filed under: Microthoracius praelongiceps
Lineage: Eukaryota; Metazoa; Arthropoda; Insecta; Psocodea; Microthoraciidae
Description: tRNA-Ser
Source: RNAcentral